UGCAACUCCUAAAUGCUAAACAUUUUUUUAUUUCUCUAAAUCGAGCGUGUUGGGGAUUUUCACAUUAUAAAGUGAUCAAACAAUUUUCUGUUUUCAAGAAGAAAAACUAGUUGUAUGAGCAUUAUAUGCAAAGUAGAAUAAACAUGACGAAAUUUUCCAAAUUAGUUUAUGCUAUGAUUCUCCUUCUUUUCAUAUUUCUUGUUGCAACUAAUGCCAUGAAUGCGAGUGAACGGUGUAUUCCUCCUCAAAUGCUUAUGUGCGAUUUGCAUGGGUGUCACUGUGGGACGUGGGAACAAACAGCUUGAAAAUUUAGAAGAAAAGUGAAAGAAAGUUUAAUAAGAAUUAAAUAAUUUAGAUAUUUUAGUUAGUAAUUUAUUUUAAUUUGUCUCGUUUAGUUGAACUUUUUAGUUGAAUUUCUGUUGGCCUUUAUAUCUAUUUAGAUUAUUAUCCAUUUAGUACGUAGUAAUGUACUAUAUAUUUAGUGUUUUGGACAAAUUUUAAUCAACUCAAUUAAUGAAUGAAAAUGUUUUAUUUUA
This is a long non-coding RNA of Trifolium pratense (red clover), 536 nucleotides long. RefSeq lists it as uncharacterized. The record is from RefSeq and is a predicted model, not a curated record. Lineage: Eukaryota; Viridiplantae; Streptophyta; Magnoliopsida; Fabales; Fabaceae. The transcript is spliced from 2 exons.